UUGCCAUUCGUUCUCUCAAUUUUGCUUUCACACUCACUUUCUUUCACUGCUGGAUGUGCUCUUUUUCUUUCUAUUUCGUUUCGCGUCAUAAUUCUUCGGUGAAAAUCCAGAAGUGUUUAUAAUUUCAAAUUAGUUUUAAAUAUUUGACUAGCUAUGGCUGAUAGUGAUGAUGAAUAUGAUCGGAAAAGACGCGACAAAUUCCGCGGCGAAAGAGGUGCUGCUGAAAGUAGCUAUAGAAGUAGUGAUCGCCGCGAGGAGCGUAGCCGGGGCCGAGAAGAGUGGUCCGAAAGAUCUCGCGGCGGUCGUUCUGGGCCGGACUACAGAGACUACCGCGGGGGAGCGAGUGCUAGCCGCGGGUAUUCACCUGUGCGCGGUGAGGGCCCCCCUAGCAAGCGUAUUAGGCCAGACUGGCCUAUAGAUGACCGAAGAUAUGGAGGCAUGCCACAUGAUUCUUAUGGGUCAUAUGGCUGGGCUCAUGAUCACUUUGGACCGCAUCCGGCACACCAGGGUUAUGGGCAGCCGAUGCCACCAGUACCCGCAAGAGAUUAUGAUGUCAGGGAUGCUGUCCUGCCUAUGGGUGCGGUGGAUGGACCCCCAACCAUGAUGUCCUUCAAAGCAUUCCUUGCUGCUCAAGAUGACUCGAUCACAGUGGAUGAUGCCAUUCAGAAGUACAAUGAAUACAAGCUAGAAUUCAGAAGACAACAGCUCAACGAGUUCUUUGUUGCUCAUAAGGAUGAAGAAUGGUUCAAGAUCAAAUACCACCCUGAGGAAUCUGUCAAACGGAAAGAAGAGCAGUUAGCUGCAUUGAAGAACCGUCUAAACGUUUUCCUGGGAUUAUUAGAAGUUGGGGAGUUGGACAAAGUGUCAGUAGAUGUGGAUAAGUCUGACAAGCUGAUUAGAUUACUGGAUACUGUCGUGAUCAAGCUUGAAGGAGGCACAGAAGAAGACCUGAAAGCUCUCGAUGAACCGCCAAAUGAAGAACCAACUACUAAAGAAAAACCAGUUGAAGCAGACAAACCUGUGGUCAUUGAUGUGGAUGCUGUAAAGGUGAAAGAAGAAAAGGAAGAAGAAAACGCGGAUAAAAAUGACAAGGAUAAGACUGACAAGAAGGAGGACCCGGACAAGCCAACAGCGCCUCUCACCAUGGAGAUAGAUCCGCAUCUCAAGCAGUUGCAAGAGCAAGCCAAGCUGUUCUCUCGCUUCAACUCCGCGCCCGGUGACGAACCGGAGGGUGAACCCCAGGAGAAGGAACCUCCCCCGCCGGGUUCCUCUUCAAGUUCCUCGUCGUCCAGUUCUUCAUCAUCAUCUUCAGAGGACGAAGGAGAGACCACCUCUCGACGCAAGUCUAAAUCUAAGUCCAAGUCCAAAACACCGGACAAAUCGCCCAAGCGCAAAGAGAAGUCCAAGUCACCAAGUGUGGAGAAGACUGGAGAAGCAGAGAAAGAUAAAGAAAAAAAUGGAGAUGAUAAAGCGGAGUCGCUGAAUGACGUCAUUGUCGAGAAGAAAGAGUCACGCGCGCUGCACAAGACCACGUCUAUAUUCCUAAGGAAUUUAGCACCUACUAUUACUAAGGCAGAAGUUGAAGCUAUGUGCAAACGCUACGGCGGUUUUCUGCGUGUGGCGUUAGCAGACCCGCUACCUGAACGCCGAUGGUUCCGCCGCGGCUGGGUCACCUUCCGUCGGGAGGUCAACAUCAAGGAUAUCUGCUGGAACCUUAAUAACAUUCGGUUGCGCGAAUGCGAGCUAGGAGCGAUUGUGAACAGGGACCUGCAACGUCGCAUCCGCCCUGUAUCGGGGGUGACACUUGAACGACCAGUGCUGCGCGCCGACGCCCGCCUGGCCGCGAGACUGGCGCACCUCCUCGACACUCGCACCAAGCUGUGGGCUGCAGAGAACGCGGAGAACAACCAGGAAACCGAAAAAUCCUCUUCCGAUGUCCAAAAUUUCAGCUUAAACUCGAAGAACCCCGUACUUCACAAGAUUACAGAGCAUUUGAUUGAAGAAGCUUCUACUGAGGAGGAAGAGCUUCUAGGUCUCGAAGCGUCAUCGGACUCUACAACCGUGGAGCAAUCAGACCCGGAACUGGUUAGGGUGUUGGACCGCCUUGUGCUGUACCUGCGUAUAGUGCACUCAGUGGAUUACUACAACCAUUGCGAAUAUCCUUAUGAGGAUGAGAUGCCUAAUCGCUGCGGCAUUAUGCACGCUCGUUCUGGGCCACCGGCGAACAAGCCAUCUCAGCAAGAGGUACAAGAUUACAUCAAGACAUUCGAAAGCAAGAUGUCUGCUUUUCUGCAAGAUGUUAAGCCUCUUUCUGAUGAGGAAUUACAGAAACUUGGAAUCAAGGACCCUGAUGCAGAAGUCGAGAAGUUCAUACAAGCCAACACUCAGGAGUUGUCCAAAGACAAGUGGUUGUGUCCACUCAGUGGGAAGAAAUUCAAAGGGCCUGACUUUAUCAGAAAACACAUAUUCAACAAGCAUGCGGAGAAGGUGGAGGAGGUGCGGCGCGAGGUGUCGUACUUCAACGCGUACGUGCGCGACGUGCGCCGCCCGCAGCAGCCCGAGCCGCCCGCGCGCCCCGCGCCGCCCGCGCACCACGCGCCGCCGCCCGCGCCGUCAGUUGCAUUUAUUGUAUUCUAUUUCAGGGCCUUACAUCCACCGUUACACUACAGUAUUACACCCUCAAUAAAUUAUUAUCUAAAAGCCAUUAACAAGCUUGUUCAGAUUGGGACAUAAAUAAAUUGACAUUAAAUAGAACUUGACUGAAGACAAGCAGUUGAACGUGAAGAUGUAAAGCGUACCGUGAAGUAACAAGAAAGUAUUUACUUACUACACUAGUUUAUAACCUCACUUGUGUUCUCUAGAUUAUUAGAACGUCGACGGGACGGAGACGGAACGUGCUGUAAUUAGUGCCACGAUCUCGUCCCGUCCGUGCAUCCGUGACCUUUGCUCUUUCGAAUACAUUUUCUAUGGAACGAUAUUUCACUUCUUCGAUUAUCGUAUUUGUGUAUGUGUGGUAUCAGGUACGGCGGCGGCGCGGCGGGCGGAGCGGGCCCGGCGGCGCGCGGCUGGGGCUGGGGCGGGUGGGCGCCGCCCGCGCCCUACGCGCCCCGCCACCCGCGCUUCUCACGACCCAGGGAGAAUGUGGAUCGGUCCCGGCCGAUUAUUGCAUACAACGAUCUUGACUUCCCGGACAGUGGUGACAUAUUCUAAGCUAAGAUACAGACAAUGUGACCAUGACUUCUUGUAAUUGUUGUACUAAGCAUUCCGUUCUCUAAAUUGUCAGCGUGAUUACAUUUGCACAGUGGCGCUCACCAUCGAGCGGAUGUUACAAUGUACCACCAUAUAUGUUCAUGUUUUGCAUGUAUUUUUUUGUAUAUAAUAAAGACUCAUCACAUGUAGCAAAUGUAAUUGUGCGUUUCUUACAAACAUUCUUUAUACGCGUAUGAGUAUUUUUCUUUAAUAAUCACGGUGAUGACCGGUACAUUACCUAAGCAGUACUUUUUCACUUUAUUAUUAUAAUUGUAGUUUUGUUAACUUCACACUGACAAAGGUUUAUUAUAAACCAACUACUGCCCAUACGUUAGUUACGUAUACGUAUAUUUCUGACAUGAUAAUUUUAUUAAUGUUUUCCAUUUAUAUUUAUCGGCCGACAUGUUGUAUUGUAGAGUAAUACUAAAGUAAAAUAUCAAUAAGAUAAUUUAUACAUAGCAUAUUGACAUUAUACUAUCUGGAUAUACUUUGUUAUAUGAGAAGUUACAAUAAACUGUCCUAAAAUGUGACAUGUCCAUCUAUUUCUUCUCCACUCCUUUAAUCCAUUAUGUUGAAUAUCCCAUCCAUAGCAAUAAGCAACUCCCGGGAAGCUGAGAUUACCUUAAAAAAAAAUGCACGACUGUACAGAUUGUUUAGGGUAUAAUGAAAACAGGUCAGUUCCUUUGCAGUGAAAUCGCUCUUAAAAGCACGUUUACAGCAAAAAUAUAGUUUAGAAAUGGUUUGAAAAUAUAUUUUUUCGUCGGAAUUGGUCUGUUUUAUGAGCUGUGCAUUAUGAGUGUUGUUUGCGUGUCGUGAGAGAGUUGCUAUUAACAAAGCUGUUGAUUGUUAAAGGGGCGGCGGCGGCGGCGCCGAAUUCCGCCCGGUGAUUCACUACCGAGACCUGGACGCGCCACGCGAACCUGACGAAUUCAUAUAACAUCUAUUUUACCGCCACCACUUGCCAAAGGAUCUUAUUCUUCGAACAUUUAACACUAUUACUCGUAGAUGUCACAAAGUAAUGUAAAUAAUUUUAUGUUUUAUCAGUAUUGCAUACGGUUUACUUUAGUUGUAAGCUAGAGUUGAUGGUUAUGGUGAAACUUGAGUGUAUUGUUGAAAUACAUGUAAUUUUAUUGAAAACACGCUUUUUAAUAAACUUUGCAUUAUCAUAAACAGAA
RNAcentral lists this unclassified non-coding RNA (4424 nucleotides) under Pectinophora gossypiella (pink bollworm). RNAcentral's name for it is "serrate RNA effector molecule homolog". Lineage: Eukaryota; Metazoa; Arthropoda; Insecta; Lepidoptera; Gelechiidae. The record is from RNAcentral.